This 370-nucleotide long non-coding RNA is filed under the name Mytilus galloprovincialis (Mediterranean mussel). The record is from RNAcentral. Lineage: Eukaryota; Metazoa; Mollusca; Bivalvia; Mytilida; Mytilidae.
AGCACUCACACUACAUCUAAAAAUGCAACGGCUUCUGGCAAAUGUCUUGCAAGAUGUCCAAUGUCGGAUUUCGCCGUUUUUUUACAAAUAAAUUGUCAUUUGCGACGUUAUUUAUUAAAAAUUCAGAGUAGUUGCAUGCUAAAUAGUCCUUUUCCGUAAUUGUGCUUUAACUUUACAAAACAGCAACAUACUUUUUGAUAACUUGCGUAGUCAAAACGACUUCGUUUUCAAAGAAAUGAAAUGUCUUGCAAGUUUGUCCACUGGACGAUUUUCGUACGUUUUCAACGUUGUCGAUUCGGGGUACGCUAUUUAUGGUGGAUCAUCUGUAUAUAGUUCCUCAGAUAGAAUUUUCUUGAUAGUCAAAUACUAU